RNAcentral lists this ribosomal RNA (301 nucleotides) under uncultured bacterium. RNAcentral describes it as "partial 16S ribosomal RNA". It matches the Rfam family "Bacterial small subunit ribosomal RNA", at positions 509 to 809 of the family's 1533-position model. The record is from RNAcentral.
CAGUAGCCACGGUAAUACAGAGGGUGCUAGCGUUAAUCGGAUUUACUGGGCGUAAAGCGUGCGUAGGCGGCUUCUUAAGUCGGAUGUGAAAUCCCUGAGCUUAACUUAGGAAUUGCAUUCGAUACUGGGAAGCUAGAGUAUGGGAGAGGAUGGUAGAAUUCCAGGUGUAGCGGUGAAAUGCGUAGAGAUCUGGAGGAAUACCGAUGGCGAAGGCAGCCAUCUGGACUAAUACUGACGCUGAGGUACGAAAGCAUGGGGAGCAAACAGGAUUAGAUACCCCGGUAGUCCCUGUCUCUUAUAA